GCCACAAGAUCUAACAAUAUGUUUUUUCUAGUAGAUUUGUUUCCCAGUGAAUUCAGUGCUUUAUGUUUUUUUUUUUUUGUAAAGACUGAUUAUCUUUUGCUCGAUUUAUAGUGGUUCGAUGUUGAAAAAUUAAUAGAAAAUUAUAAAAAAUUCAAAAGGAAACAACUUAAGAAAUUAUUUUGUGUGUGUUAUCACUUUUAGCUGGAUUUUUUUU
RNAcentral lists this long non-coding RNA (214 nucleotides) under Capsella rubella. RNAcentral's name for it is "long non-coding RNA (CRUB_LNC002340)". Lineage: Eukaryota; Viridiplantae; Streptophyta; Magnoliopsida; Brassicales; Brassicaceae. The record is from RNAcentral.